This 402-nucleotide ribosomal RNA is filed under the name uncultured bacterium. Its description in RNAcentral is "bacterial SSU rRNA". It matches the Rfam family "Bacterial small subunit ribosomal RNA", at positions 355 to 774 of the family's 1533-position model. The record is from RNAcentral.
UCGGGAAUUUUGGGCAAUGGGCGAAAGCCUGACCCAGCAACGCCGCGUGAGGGAUGAAGUAUUUCGGUAUGUAAACCUCGAAAGAAUGGGAAGAAUAAAUGACGGUACCAUUUAUAAGCUCCGGCUAACUACGUGCCAGCAGCCGCGGUAAUACGUAGGGAGCAAGCGUUGUUCGGGUUUACUGGGCGUAAAGGGCGCGUAGGCGGCGCGGUAAGUCACUUGUGAAAUCUCUGAGCUUAACUCAGAACGGCCAAGUGAUAUUGCUGUGCUAGAGUGCGGAAGAGGCAACCGGAAUUCUUGGUGUAGCGGUGAAAUGCGUAGAUAUCAAGAGGAACACCUGAGGCGAAGGCGGGUUGCUGGGCCGACACUGACGCUGAUGCGCGAAAGCCAGGGGAGCAAACG